CUCUGAGUUGUGCUCGGCAGUGCCGCCAGGAAGGGGUGCAUAAAGAACAACAAAACAAUCUUGUGCCUGUCUGUCCAGUGGCAACAUCUGUAUCAUGUUAGCAAUGCUCAGACUCUUGAAAUGCCUUCUCAUUACUCUUGCCUUCAGGAUGAAGUUAGAUUCUUCUUGUCGUGGAGGAAAAGAGCUGAAGUACAAGAGAAAAUUUCAUCUUUAAUUAAUUUGUCUUGGUCCCUUAUGCUUCUGAAAUAAUACCAGUGCUCCUGAAGGAAAACAUCAGAGAGGAACACCAGGGAAGUGUAAAGAUUUCCUUCCUUUAUAAUGCUUGCUGAGUGAUACAUCUUUGAACAAGUCACUGACAUGUGUCCCUCCUUGUUAUAGAGUAUAUAACAAAAUGAACGCACCUCACAGGAGCUUUCUGAGGACUUGCGCCUGUAAAGCCCUUUUGAGGAUGAAAAGCAUUAUAUAAGUAUUGAGCGCUAAUCUCAGGCAUGUGGACAAGUUGUGCACAUUCAAAGUAAAAACCUUUCUAAUAACAUCCAUCUGCAUCUUGAAUACAAGAAAGAAAUUGUAAGACAGCCUGUCAAUGAUCAAGGCUUUUGCAUGCAGCUCACCCUACUGUUUGGCUGCUGGCUAGCCUCGAGAGUCCACAGAGGAAAAUGGCUCUGAAGGAAGGAAUGCGCAUGUUAAGCAGAGGGCAGCUUUUGUGAAGGGUGAGAAAAAUAAGGCAAACACCCUCAGCUGCCAAAGU
This 748-nucleotide long non-coding RNA is filed under the name Cairina moschata (Muscovy duck). RNAcentral's name for it is "domestica (muscovy Duck (domestic type)) lncRNA (ENSCMMG00000013139.1)". Lineage: Eukaryota; Metazoa; Chordata; Aves; Anseriformes; Anatidae. The record is from RNAcentral.